Long non-coding RNA from Columba livia (rock pigeon), 788 nucleotides. RefSeq lists it as uncharacterized. Lineage: Eukaryota; Metazoa; Chordata; Aves; Columbiformes; Columbidae. The record is from RefSeq and is a predicted model, not a curated record. The transcript has 2 exons.
AAUCAGCGGGGCGUGGGGGAUAUGGGGGAGCGGCUCUGCCCUCCCUCCGUGACCGGCUUCCCUCGCCCCCGGCCCCGCCACUGCAGCCCCGCGGCUUCCCCGGGCUCCCGGCGGAGAGGUCCCGGGGUCUGACGGGGCGACAGACACCCCUUGGUGGGCACCUGCGGGUGAAAGGAGACACUGCCCGAGGAGCAGCAGGACAAAACAGAGCCAAGAGCACCGAGAUCUGUGGUGACACAUGCACCCGUGGCUGGAGAGCUGCUGCCUGGCAUGAGGCUGCUCCCUGCUCCAGAAAUGUGUGUCUGGAAGGUCGUGGUUCUGCAUUUUGGAGUGGUGGAACACAUUAAACUAUCUGCUGUCCCAGCCUGGCCAUCAGGGGAUGUACAAGGUUUGAGUAUUGUACUUUUCACUGAUCUUCUCUUAUCUCACCUACAGUGUCUGAACAUGUUACAAUAUCAUCAUGUCUCCUUUUUUGCUGCCCUUAUCAGGCUUAUCAGACCAUGAAGAUCGAUUACUGGUUUUAGUCACUUAAUUGUUUUAUGAGAAUUGGACCACUUAACUACUCCUGGGAUGGAUCACUGUAUAUGUUCAUGGUGACUUUCAAAUAUAGGUGAGCAUAGCAUAACUUUUGCUCAUCUCUGGAAUCAGUCCUACACUUCAAGUGGUAACAGACAAAAGGAGUGAGGCACUAAACAAUUAUCACUGGCAUAAAUCAUUCCCAUAAGAAAGAUGAUCAGGGAUUGUUAAAAGCAUAACUGUCCCCUACUAAAAAUGAUUUACCUUUUUUC